UACGUAGGGUGCGAGCGUUAAUCGGAAUUACUGGGCGUAAAGCGUGCGCAGGCGGUUUUGUAAGCCAGAUGUGAAAUCCCCGAGCUUAACUUGGGAACUGCAUUUGUGACUGCAUGGCUAGAGUACGGUAGAGGGGGAUGGAAUUCCGCGUGUAGCAGUGAAAUGCGUAGAUAUGCGGAGGAACACCGAUGGCGAAGGCAAUCCCCUGGACCUGUACUGACGCUCAUGCACGAAAGCGUGGGGAGCAAACAGG
RNAcentral lists this ribosomal RNA (253 nucleotides) under uncultured bacterium. Its description in RNAcentral is "partial 16S ribosomal RNA". It matches the Rfam family "Bacterial small subunit ribosomal RNA", at positions 524 to 776 of the family's 1533-position model. The record is from RNAcentral.